GACGAACGCUGGCGGCGUGCCUAAUACAUGCAAGUCGAGCGAAGUUUUUCUGGUGCUUGCACUAGAAAAACUUAGCGGCGAACGGGUGAGUAACACGUAAAGAACCUGCCUCAUAGACUGGGACAACUAUUGGAAACGAUAGCUAAUACUGGAUAACAGUAUUUCUCGCAUGAGAGAUAUUUAAAAGUUGGUUAUGCUAACACUAUGAGAUGGCUUUGCGGUGCAUUAGCUAGUUGGUGGGGUAAAGGCCCACCAAGGCGACGAUGCAUAGCCGACCUGAGAGGGUGAUCGGCCACACUGGGACUGAGACACGGCCCAGACUCCUACGGGAGGCAGCAGUAGGGAAUCUUCCGCAAUGGGCGAAAGCCUGACGGAGCAACGCCGCGUGAGUGAAGAAGGAUUUCGGUUCGUAAAGCUCUGUUGUUAGGGAAGAAUGGAUAUGUAGUAACUAUACAUGUAAGAGACGGUACCUAACCAGAAAGCCACGGCUAACUACGUG
RNAcentral lists this ribosomal RNA (499 nucleotides) under uncultured bacterium. RNAcentral's name for it is "partial 16S ribosomal RNA". It matches the Rfam family "Bacterial small subunit ribosomal RNA", at positions 28 to 507 of the family's 1533-position model. The record is from RNAcentral.